This 2172-nucleotide long non-coding RNA is filed under the name Sparus aurata (gilthead seabream). RNAcentral describes it as "lncRNA (ENSSAUG00010008640.1)". Lineage: Eukaryota; Metazoa; Chordata; Actinopteri; Spariformes; Sparidae. The record is from RNAcentral.
CUGAUGCUAGCUCCCUGUUAGCUGUUAGCUGGACUACGAUCGUAUUAAAGGUUGAAGGAGCGGAUGAUUUAUUAUUAGCGUCUCUUUUCUCGUCUGUACUUGUUCAUGUACAACAGUCACAGGUCUGCUAGUCGUCGCUGGUGCUGACCUGUUUGUUGACUUUAAGCUCUCACAACAAGGCAAAAGAUAUAAAAAGUAAUGAGGACAUAAUGAAGUAUAAAAGCUUAACUGUAACUCUCAGCUAAAUACAUUGACUCAAAUACUUCACUUCAGGACACAUUUAAGGGCAGAGCAACGUGUAGCGUGUGUACAGUAAAUACAGCCGACUGUUAGCUGAGAAUAAAUCAAGGCGACAACGAUAACCUCCAUCUUUAAUUUGAGGGUGUUCACAUCACAUCAGAAAAAACAGCAGGAACAGUCUCUCAUGUUUCUGUUCUGUCAUGUUUCUGUGUAACAGAGAUGUCGGAUACUUCAGAGAAAAAGUGGAAACCAACUCUGACUAAAAUCCUGGAGGAGCUGGACAACAAACAGUACAGAAAGACAAUGGAAUAUUUGGACAAAGUUCCCAAAGGUCAGAAGAAAGGCAGAUCUUUUGCAACGAUGGCCCAAAAAAUAAUUGAGCGCUACGGACAUGACGAAUCAAUUUCUACAAUACAUAAAAUCAUGGAAGAGAUACCGAGGAAGGAUCCGAGGAUGCAGGAACUGUUGGGCCCCUUUGUUGAAGAACUGAGGAGCAAAAAUGAAAAAGGGAGAAAAGGAAAGAAGAGAAAGUGUGAUUCAGUGGAGAAGGAAGACAAUCCUCCAGCAGAGAUGUCGGAUACUUCAGAGAAAAAGUGGAAAGCAACUCUGACUAAAAUCCUGGAGGAGCUGGACAACAAACAGUACAGAGAGACGAUGGAAUAUUUGGACAAAAUCCCCGGAAGUCAGAAGAAAGGCAGAUCUGAAGCAACGAUGGCCCAAAAAAUCAUUGAGCGCUACGGACAUGAUGAAUCAAUUUCUGCAAUACAUAAUAUCAUGGAAGAGAUACCGAGGAAGGAUCCAAGGAUGCAGGAACUGUUGGGCCCCUUUGUCGAAGAACUGAGCAGCAAAAAUGAAAAAGGGAGAAAAGGAAAGAAGAGAAAGUGUGAUCCAGUGGAGAAGGAAGACAAUCCUCCAGCAGGAAAGAAGAGGAAAUGUGAUCAAGUGGAGAAGAAGAAGAAAAAGCCUGCAGAAGGUCAAAAGAGCAGCCAGCCUGUCAAGGAGACAAACGCUGAUCGUUGGAAGAAAUCCAUCCGUGAGCUGAAGUCCAGCAGUGCACUUCUUGACACUGAUGGCAUUGUUGGGAAAGUUGUUCAGAAAUCUGGUGUGCGCAGUUAUCGAACCAAAGAAAAUGUUAAAAAGUAUUUUUUUUAUCUGGCAGUCGCUGAUGAGACGGCCAGCAUGAAAUUGAUGGUGUAUGGAAAACCAUUCUAUAAACAAAUCAUGGAAAAAAAGACCUACAUGUUCAGAAAGCUAACAAAAGACGAGAAAGGUUUUAUUAAGCUUCGCGCACAGAGUAAAUUCUCAAAGAAGAGAAAACCUGUUCAAGUUCCAGACAAGCUCGAGACGGAAGCUCGGGAGCUGAUUUAUCCCAAGUGUCCAGAUUACUCCAUUGCUGAAGCCAAACUGUCUGCUGACAUCCGUGUGACUGUUAAAGGAACCAUUACAAAGAUUGAUCCCAUCGAACCAGCUACAGGGAAGACAAAACAGAAGACGACGCAGCGUUUCCAGAUAAAAGACGACACCGACUCCAUCAGCAUCUGCAUGUGGGGUGAAGACACCAGGCAGUGCAAAGGAUUAUCAGUGGGUGAUGUCAUCCAGGCUACCAACAUGAAGACCAACCGGUACUAUGGCACAAUCUCGCUGAACUCAACUGGAUUCACCAAAAUUCAGAAGGUUCAAAGUGGCAGCCAGAGUGAGAGAAUUGAAAUUGAAGGAAUCGCAAAAGCCACAAAGAAGGAGACUCACCUGGACGCAUUUUUCAGAGACGAGAUGCACAGGUGUGUUGUGGCUUCUCCACUUCUGGCAAAGGCUUUUGGCUUCAAACUGGAGGGUGAUAUAAAAGAAAAGCUCCUUGACAUCAUUCCAAUGUCAGCAGACGCAGUAAUACAAGGAGGUCAAAUAAAAGAACUCACAGCCGCUCCAGUGAAAUAA